RNAcentral lists this long non-coding RNA (798 nucleotides) under Amborella trichopoda. RNAcentral describes it as "long non-coding RNA (ATRI_LNC003965)". The record is from RNAcentral. Lineage: Eukaryota; Viridiplantae; Streptophyta; Magnoliopsida; Amborellales; Amborellaceae.
AUCAAGGUUGUUUCUCUCUAGACUGUUCCUAAGCUCUUCAUCUUCUCUAAACCUAACAAGGUAUCAGAAAAACAAAGAUCCGAUCAUCUCUUCCUUGUUGCUGCUUACAAAUCACCCUUUUUGUGAAGGUCAGUAAUCAAAUAAAUUUUAUUUUCUCUAUGGAUACCUUAAUCUCCAUCUUUUGUUUACUUUGCCUCAUCAUAUAUAAUUGGAGCAAUCAUCGAUCUCUCAAAUUUACGUUGCAACGGUGUCGUGUGGUUUAUGGGCCAGAACUUGGUUCGUUCCUCUUGCCCGAUGGCCCAAAACCCUCGAUCCUCUCUUAUUCUCUCUCUAAACUUUCAUUGUAAAUUAGAAACCUUCCAAAUUUUGGUUGCAAACCUUGCAAAUUUGAAACUUUCCAAACUUUGCAAAUUUUCAUGGUCCUAUUAUAUCUCUCCUUUGAAACCCUCAUUUUGUCUUCAUCUAUUCUAAAGCUUUGAAUUCUAUCUACUUCAUUUGCAAGCUUAUUGAUAUCAUCCACGGCCUGUUAAUUUGUAUUGAUAUCUUCCAAUUCCUUUGCAAGCAUAUUAACUCGUCUCCAUAAGAAAAAAUAUUUCGGUGCAAAAUUUGUCUGUCUCGUACGCUCUACCUUGCAAAUCUUAACAAUUGCUGCUUGCAAAAUUUGCCUUGUAAUCUCUUUGAACUACACAAUUAAUCAGCUUGCAAGUUUUUAUUUGACGUUUCUUUGUAAUGCUUUGCAAGCUGUUGUGCUCUCCCACAAUAACAGUCUUUCAUUGAACCUAGCAAUUUGCAGCUGUC